UGGCUUAGUCAGUAGAGCAUGAGACUCCUGAUCUCUGAGUUGUGGGGUCAAGCCCCAC
This 58-nucleotide transfer RNA is filed under the name Felis catus (domestic cat). It matches the Rfam family "tRNA", at positions 8 to 63 of the family's 71-position model. Rfam says of the family: Transfer RNA (tRNA) molecules are approximately 80 nucleotides in length. Their secondary structure includes four short double-helical elements and three loops (D, anti-codon, and T loops). The record is from Rfam by way of RNAcentral. Lineage: Eukaryota; Metazoa; Chordata; Mammalia; Carnivora; Felidae.